Molecule: long non-coding RNA, 100 nt
Organism: Octopus sinensis (East Asian common octopus)
Lineage: Eukaryota; Metazoa; Mollusca; Cephalopoda; Octopoda; Octopodidae
Exons: 3
Source: RefSeq, a predicted model, not a curated record
AUGUGUGUGUGCGUGUGUAUGUGUUCGUCCCUCUCUCUCCCCUGCUUCUUUUCCUCCACUCACGCCUGCUCCACCCUGGUGAGCAACAGCCUCUCCUCUC